CCUACGGGCGGCAGCAGUGAGGAAUAUUGGUCAAUGGGCGAGAGCCUGAACCAGCCAAGUCGCGUGAGGGAGUACUGCCCUAUGGGUUGUAAACCUCUUUUGUCGGGGAGCAAAAGCCGGACGUGUCCGGCUGUGAGAGUACCCGAAGAAAAAGCAUCGGCUAACUCCGUGCCAGCAGCCGCGGUAAUACGGAGGAUGCGAGCGUUAUCCGGAUUUAUUGGGGUUAAAGGGUGCGCAGGCGGAUUUUUAAGUCAGCGGUCAAAUCGUGGGGCUCAACCCCAUCCAGCCGUUGAAACUGGGGAUCUAGAGUGUGCGAGAGGUAGGCGGAAUGCGUGGUGUAGCGGUGAAAUGCAUAGAUAUCACGCAGAACCCCGAUUGCGAAGGCAGCAUACCGGUGCACAACUGACGCUCAGGCACGAAAGCGUGGGUAUCGAACAGGAUUAGAUACCCCAGUAGUC
This 458-nucleotide ribosomal RNA is filed under the name uncultured bacterium. RNAcentral's name for it is "partial 16S ribosomal RNA". It matches the Rfam family "Bacterial small subunit ribosomal RNA", at positions 338 to 795 of the family's 1533-position model. The record is from RNAcentral.